UCCUAUCAAGCCUAGUUCCCCAGCAAUCUAGUCUUGUUGAGGCUCCGUUGCUCCUGUCAGAGCCACUUGCUCUGUAGAGGAUGUUGACAACUUCGAACGGCAACUCACGCCUGAUCGUCAAAAACAGUUGGUGACUGAGCUAAUGUUGCUGGGAGGAAGCUCCCUGAAAUGUGCAGUCAAAAGGAUUCUAUCCCACAUGUUCACAGACAAACUUGCACAGCUUUACAGCUGGGAAGGAAGAAAAGGAAAAUUUAAAUUUGUGGACCUUACUUUGCCAGGUCUAAUCUUACGUGCCCUUCACGCACAGAAAAAGUUUUCGAAAGUAACAGAGUUCGAGGUGCAGGUAGUUGCCAAAGAAUGGCUGAGGCAUGCUGGUGACAGGUGUAAAAGAGCCAAAAGCAUUGAGUCUGCAGUUGCGUAAACUGCCUCAGGAGGCUACUGCGUGGGCUGCCCCAGGAAUCUACUGCAUGAACUGCCCCAUGAACAAACUGUUAGCCACACCACAGAGGCGGGGUGCCCUACUGUUCUGAAACAAGGUGGAGAAAAUCACCAAAGAAUAAGUGGAUGUGUGGUGCCCUAAGAACAGUGGACAAGCAGUGGUCUUAAAAAAACAGCUGAAUGUUGUUUGCAGCGGUUCAGUACAUUCAGUGGUAUCUUUCUUGUUUUGACCAGUUACAUAUGGCUAAUUAGUACUCAUUGUGUGUUUUGAAUGAUAUAUUGGUCUUAAUGCCUUGUCAAUUGAAAAGUUGCAGCUCACAGACACCACUAAGGUGACUCCAAUUCCGCCAACUUGUCUGUACUUGAUUUUUUUUUUUUUCAAAAAGCUUUUGAAUGAACACUGAUUAGAAGUGUAUCACUCUCACCUUAUAAUUUACAACUGCAAAAUAAUUACGCUGCGUGAAAAAAGCAAUAUGUGCCACAUAACUGCCAAUGCAUGAUCUGCUUGUGGACUUUUACUGCAGUGUUUAUUCUAGCAAAGGAUACCUUUGAAUGUGUUAAUAAGAUGGUCGACCUCCCCAUUUUUUUCUUUCAAACAUAUAUUAAAGCCUU
Long non-coding RNA from Ornithodoros turicata, 1050 nucleotides. RefSeq lists it as uncharacterized. The record is from RefSeq and is a predicted model, not a curated record. The transcript is spliced from 4 exons. NCBI's taxonomy places the organism in Eukaryota, Metazoa, Arthropoda, Arachnida, Ixodida, Argasidae.